GGUAUGGUAUAUAUGUAUGAGACUUGUUAGGUUUUAGGCGGAGAUUUCUACUUGUUCUAUGUGGUAUGGUUCUUGAGACUUUUAUGUACUUAAAGACAUUUACAUUUGUAUGUGGUAUGGUAUAUAAGAAUUGGUAGCAUUUAUUAGGAGACAUCUAUUGUUCCUUGUGGUAGGUUACAGGAGACUUGUUAAUGUGCUUUAGAAGACAUCUACUGUUUUAUUGGUAUGGUAUAUUAGACUUUUCAGUGUUCAAGGAGACUUCUAUUGUUCUGAAAGUUAUAGGUAUAAAUAGUACAUUUGUAGAUGUUAUUAAAAUGAUAUUAGACAACAACUAAUAUGUCUGGUUUCCUGCCUCCUGUCUUAAAAAACAUCAGUAAUUUGAAAUUCUAUUUCAUUUGUUUAUCAACAAAAUCUGGAAAAUGUGAAUUGUUUUCUAUAAGUCCAAUCUUGAUUUUCACAAAUAUAAUUGCAGCACGUACAAUGUAUGAUGGUAUAUUUGUAAUUUUUGAAACGUUUGGCAACUUUUCAAUCAAUUUUUGGUCAAACUUAUUAUGAAGAAUCCAGUGAAAAAUGGAUUUGUAAUCUACUCUGUUAGAGUCAGUGAUCAGACUAAAGGUCAGUAGGGAUGCAAGAAAACAGACAUAUUUAUGUUCUAGUCUUAUAGAUAAAGAGUGCAAUAUAUUGCUUAAUAGUCUUGUUUAGAUUUGUUAAAGAACAGGAAUCCUCCUGCUUUUGGAAUUUUGUUUUUUUCUUGUCUUAAUUUCUAUCAUUAUAUGGCCUGGAAGCCAUUUUAAAUAAAUAGUAGCUUUGGCUAAAUGUUCUGACUACGUCCUAGUACUGUAUCAUAUUUAUUGCUGUUUAACAGUAACUUCACUUUGUUUUCCCCGAAAUCCAUCAAAUAUAUUGAUAGGUUAUGUAUUAUUGUUAUGGUAAGAUUUUCCUUUAAAAUGUUUAUUAGAUAACUUGUCAUUUUAUGCCCUUUUUCAGACAAUCAGUGUUCAAGGUUGUAAGGAAUUUCUUUGUGCCCAAUGAGAGGGACUUUUAUAGGUUCAAAAUGUCAAUCGGUUUAAAGCAAUUUUAACUUUUCAUCCUACCACAAAACGAGCAGUCUGGCGUACUAUAUUUAUUUUGGAUACAAUAAUAAUCCUCACUGGUAGUUUAAAUGUGGUGUACUUAAUUAAUUAGUUCUUAAAAAAGAAUGAUUUUUUAAACAUGACAUUUUGCUAUUUGUUUUAUUUGUUUUUUCUUGAACAUCAUCUGGAAAUCAUCAGAAAAAAAUGUUAUGUAUAAUACUUUCAUAUCUGUUUGAAAGUGUAAUAUUGCUAAUGUUGGGUUUUUUAAAUUCAGACAUUAUUGCGUGCAUUUAUUAUUGCGAUUUAAGGAAAAUCUGCAUUUAGAUAUAUGUAGCAGAUAUCAAUAUGUGAGUUCUUAUUACUGCGAUACUCACCCACUUGCAUUAUUGGCAUUUAUAACAGCUCACAAUAAUUUCUGAAUUUACAGAAUCAAGAAUAAAAAUUAUUUUUAUAAAUGUAUAUGUAAAUGAGUGGGACAACUAUUUUUAUCACAGUAUAGAAUUAUGUAGUGUAAAUGAAUCUUUAUUUUCUAGUUAAGCUGACAGAAAGAAACACAUUAAAAUAGGUUUCGUUAUUUAAAACUGUUAUUGAAAUCCCUCCGAUAAAAGUUUUACAUAAGUUACAUAAACAAAUUUUGACAGAUUUAUUUGUAUAAAAAAAAUGGAGAAAAUUCCUACUUUCAGUAGGUUGCUGUAUAAAACCUAGUGACUUGCUGUAUAACAUCAAGUACUACACAAUUUGAAAUGGUGAAAUAACUUUGAAACUUGAAUAAGACAACUAAUAACUUAUGGAAGUAAUUUGAUCUUAACAUAACAAAUUUUUAUUUAACAAACAACAAAGAAAUUACACAAUUAAUAUGCAGAUUUGCUUCUUUUUUUUAAUCUUAUUACAUAUAUGCUGAUAGAUUUAAGCUCAAACCAAUACUUGGACUAAAGCAGAAUAAUAGUGCUUUGGAAUGUUUAGGAUCAAUUAGGUAAGGGAAAUGUGAGUUUAUUGAUAAUGAUAUGAUGUUUUGUUUAUUUGAUAAUUAAUGAGUUUCUGUUAAUUUAUCUUUAUGCAGAAAACUUGCAUUUGAAUAUUAAAUUUAUAAGAUAAUUAUAUGAAUAUUUUUAUUUAAUUGAAGUUGCAAUUUCUAAUGGACAAGACUACAACCCAACAUGUAUCCAGUGCUUUUGUAUGUGCAUCAUUUCAAUGUAAAAAUCAUGUAAUUCUCAGAAGCUUGUAACUUGU
RNAcentral lists this long non-coding RNA (2303 nucleotides) under Mytilus galloprovincialis (Mediterranean mussel). The record is from RNAcentral. Lineage: Eukaryota; Metazoa; Mollusca; Bivalvia; Mytilida; Mytilidae.